GAUGAACGCUGGCGGCGUGCCUAAUACAUGCAAGUCGAGCGAACAGAUAAGGAGCUUGCUCCUUUGACGUUAGCGGCGGACGGGUGAGUAACACGUGGGUAACCUACCUAUAAGACUGGAAUAACUCCGGGAAACCGUGGCUGAUGCAGGAUAACAUUUUGAACCGCAUGGUUCUACAGUGAAAGGCGGCUUUGCUGUCACUCAUAGAUGGACCCGCGCCGUAUUAGCUAGUUGGUGAGGUAACGGCUCACCAAGGCAACGAUACGUAGACGACCUGAGAGGGUGGUCGUCCACACAGGAACUGAAACACGGUCCAGGCUCCUACGGGAGGCCACAGUAGGGAAUCUUCCGAAAUAGGCGAAAGCCUGACGGAGCAACGCCGCGUAAGUGCUGAGGGUCUUCGGCUCGUAGAACUCUGUUAUUAGGGAAGAACCGAUGCGUACGUAACUGUGCGCGUCUUGACGGUACCUAAUUAGGAAGCCACGGCUAACUACGUG
Molecule: ribosomal RNA, 497 nt
Filed under: uncultured bacterium
Lineage: Bacteria
Description: partial 16S ribosomal RNA
Rfam family: Bacterial small subunit ribosomal RNA
Source: RNAcentral